GCCGAAGUGGCGGAACCGGUAGACGCGCCGGACUCAAAAUCCGGUGGCCUUCGGGUCGUGUGGGUUCGAGUCCCACCUUCGGCA
Molecule: transfer RNA, 84 nt
Filed under: Actinomycetes bacterium
Lineage: Bacteria; Bacillati; Actinomycetota; Actinomycetes
Also listed under: 1 other name
Description: Actinobacteria bacterium tRNA-Leu
Rfam family: tRNA
About the family: Transfer RNA (tRNA) molecules are approximately 80 nucleotides in length. Their secondary structure includes four short double-helical elements and three loops (D, anti-codon, and T loops).
Source: RNAcentral